GUGAGUCAUCGAAUCUUUGAACGCAUCUUGCGCUUCUUGGCAUUCCAGGAAGCAUGCCUGUUUGAGUCUCAGUUGACUCUCACUCUGUGGAUCUGGGCGACUCGCUUCGGCGACCGCCUGAAAUGCAUCAAGCUGGCCUCUAGAGUGCUCAGCACUUGUGGCUCGAUAAUACUCCGGUUUAUUAGUCAUUUCGUGUUGGUGUGUCUCUAGCGGACCUGUGUAUCUGUCGGCGUACUCGUACCCGACAUCUGACACCUUGAGCUCAAAUCAGGCAAGACUACCCGCUGAACUUAAGCAUAU
This 300-nucleotide unclassified non-coding RNA is filed under the name uncultured fungus. Its description in RNAcentral is "sequence contains 5.8S rRNA gene, ITS2". The stretch from base 1 to 71 matches the Rfam family "5.8S ribosomal RNA", at positions 84 to 154 of the family's 154-position model. The record is from RNAcentral. Lineage: Eukaryota; Fungi.